UAUCCGGUCAACAUUCCGGAACUACCUACUCCACGUUAUUACGAUGGGGGGACGCAGGAGGCUAGGCGAGCCUACGAUUGGACGUGUAGGUUUAGGCAUGUAGGGGGAUCUGCCAGGUAAAUCCGGUGGAUCACAUUCCCUGAGGUGCCAUAUCGAGGGUCUUUGACCCGCAAAGUCGCUGACGCCACGCUGCCGAGAAAAGCCUCUAAGGAGUGGAGUGGGUACCCGUACCGUAAACCGACACAGGUAGGUGAGGAGAAAAUCCUCAGGCGCGAGUGAGAACCCUCGUUUAGGAACUCGGCAAACUAGCCCCGUAACUUCGGAAUAAGGGGUGCUCGAUUAAGGUGCACUGUCCUCGCGAUUGUGUGCGUGAACGAGUUGCAAUAAAGAGGCCCAGGCGACUGUUUACUAAAAACACAGGACUCUGCGAAGUCGAACACGACGUAUAGGGUCUGACGCCUGCCCGGUGCCGGAAGGUUAAAGGGAGAGGUCAGCCGCAAGGCGAAGCUUCGAGCUGAAGCCCCGGUAAACGGCGGCCGUAACUAUAACGGUCCUAAGGUAGCGAAAUUCCUUGUCGGGUAAGUUCCGGCCUGCACGAAUGGCGUAACGAUCUGGGCGCUGUCUCAACGAGGGGCACUGCGAAUUUGUGGUACCGGUGAAGACGCCGGUUGCCCGUGACUAGACGAAAAGACCCCGUGCACCUUUACUACAUCUUAGUAGUGAAUGCUGGCGUGUUAUGCGCAGGAUAGGUGGGAGGCUUUGAUCUCGGGUUCUCGGACUCGGGUGAGCCAACGGUGAGAUACCACCCUUAACACUCCGGCGUUCUAACCUCGACCUGUCAUCCAGGUCAGGGACACUGCUAGGUGGGUAGUUUGACUGGGGCGGUCGCCUCCUAAACUGUAACGGAGGCGCGCGAAGGUUCGCUCAGGCUGUUUGGAAAUCAGCCGGAGAGUGCAAAAGCAUAAGCGAGCUUGACUGCGAGUCAUACAAGACGAGCAGGUGGGAAACCAGGCUUUAGUGAUCCGGUGGUUCCGCGUGGAAGGGCCAUCGCUCAACGGAUAAAAGGUACGCCCGGGAUAACAGGCUGAUCCUAGCCAAGAGUUCACAUCGACGCUAGGGUUUGGCACCUCGAUGUCGGCUCAUCGCAUCCUGGAGCUGUAGCAGGUUCCAAGGGUCCGGCUGUUCGCCGGUUAAAGCGGUACGUGAGCUGGGUUUAGAACGUCGCGAGACAGUUCGGUCUCUAUCUGUCAUGGGCGGAGGAAAUUUGAGUGGGGCUGUCCUUAGUACGAGAGGACCGGGAUGGACGCACCUCUAGUGUACGAGUUGUCGUGCCAACGGCAGCGCUCGGUAGCUACGUGCGGAAGGGAGAAACGCUGAAUGCAUCUAAGCGUGAAACCCUCCACAAGAUGAGAUUUCCCAGGCCGUAAGGCCUCUAAAGGCUCCUGGAAGAUUACCAGGUGAUAGGUCGGGUGUGGAAGCACAGCGAUGUGUGAAGCUAACCGAUACUAAUCAGCCGUGAGGCUUGACC
Molecule: ribosomal RNA, 1528 nt
Filed under: metagenome
Description: bacterial LSU rRNA
Rfam family: Bacterial large subunit ribosomal RNA
Source: RNAcentral